AGCGAACGCUGGCGGCAUGCCUAACACAUGCAAGUCGCGCGGGCAGUAAUGUCAGCGGCGGACGGGUGCGUAACGCGUAGGAGCAUAUCUAGAGGUGGGGGACAACCCUGGGAAACUGGGGCUAAUACCGCAUAUGUCCUGAGGGACAAAGCAGCGAUGCGCCUUUGGAGUGGCCUGCGUCCGAUUAGCUUGUUGGUGGGGUAAUGGCGUACCAAGGCGACGAUCGGUAGCUGGUCUGCGAGGACGAUCAGCCACACUGGGACUGAGACACGGCCCAGACUCCUACGGGAGGCAGCAGUGGGGAAGAUUGGAAAAUGGUCGCAAGCCUGAUCCAGCAAUGCCGCGUGUGUGAAGAAGGUCUUCGGAUUGUAAAGCACUUUCGACAGGGACGAUGAUGACGGUACCUGUAGAAGAAGCCCCGGCUAACUUCGUGCCAGCCGCCGCUGUAAAAC
RNAcentral lists this ribosomal RNA (452 nucleotides) under uncultured bacterium. Its description in RNAcentral is "bacterial SSU rRNA". It matches the Rfam family "Bacterial small subunit ribosomal RNA", at positions 29 to 526 of the family's 1533-position model. The record is from RNAcentral.